CACCGAGCUGAGGACAACUGGACGCGUGCAUCCUCAUGACACAAAGACAAAGAGCUUCUCUAUUUGUUGCAGUUGCUGAGAAACAAGACAUCUGACAUCUUCUUCGAAGAAAACGCCCAAAAUGGAAGCUGAUAUGCAGCAAUAUUUUCCAUGCUUUUCUGAAGAUGACCAGAGGGGGUGUAUUGUAAAAUGGCAAUGUGGGCAAAAAAAAAAAAAAAAGACGUGCUUGGACCAACAUCAUGUUCAUUGCUUCGUGAGUCAGGGCAGAACUUGCCGCAGGCCAAUGUGGCGAGCAGAGAUAGAGCAACACGUUUGCUGAAGACAAGCAGACAAGGCCCAUUGGGCUGCGUGGAGAUGAAAUGGGAUGGGCUUGGUCUGCUGAUCCAACACAAGCCUUAUCUUCUUCUCGCAUCCAACUCAACGUUCGACAUCUGAUGACGUCCGACACGGUGGUGAAGGUUAUGACUUUGUGACUCUUGUUUUCUUUUGACCUCACCCACCCACCCUCCUGUGUGCGCAUCAAUUAUUCAUAAUCCUCGGGUAGCUCACUUGAAACUGAUAACCCGACUUCUAUUUAUACGACUGCACAGCUGCUUCUGGCCACACCACAGUCGAGGAAGGAGUCUUUGGAUGGCUGCUCUGCAGGCAUGCAGGGGCAACUUUUGGACCAUGCUCAGAAGGCUUGCUUAUCUUAUUUGGCUAUGAGAAGGUCUGUUAAGGCAGAAAAGGGACUUUGUGCAGGUGGGGGGUGGGGGGGGGGAGACUAAAUCACUCAUUGCAUCACAGGUCAGUGUGGUUUACACUUAACAGUUUUAUUGGAAUAUUAAGACAAUGAAGCAGAAGCCAAGCACCAAGAGUGACAGCUACAUGUACUGUAUGUAGAGCAUUAUGACUCUUCCAAAUGAACAGGUUACAUUGGAAAACCUUCUCACCUACACACACUCUCUCGCAAACACAGAACAAACUGCGAAAGGUGAUUAUCCCAUUGACACACAUCGAAUCCUACCUUAGUGAAAAAGAAAACAGGUGGGUGGGGCUAUGGGAUCGAGGUAAAUGAAACGGCCGUAUUCGCUUGACAUCAGCGUGUGGCAGCGGCUGCUGUACCGGCAUAAAUUCAUUCACUGCUAGCCCAGGUAAAAUGGAUCUUUGACGUGUCGAGUCGUCACUGGCAGUGAAUGAGUUAUAAGGGCAGCACUGGUCAGAACGAACAAGGCAGUCUGGGGGAAUGCACGGCCGAAUGAAUAGCAUCAGUU
Syngnathus typhle (broad-nosed pipefish) is the source of this 1253-nucleotide long non-coding RNA. RefSeq lists it as uncharacterized. The transcript is spliced from 2 exons. The record is from RefSeq and is a predicted model, not a curated record. Lineage: Eukaryota; Metazoa; Chordata; Actinopteri; Syngnathiformes; Syngnathidae.